AGGAUGCGGCAGGCCUAACACAUGCAAGUCGAGCGAGAUCUUCGGAUCUAGCGGCGGACGGGUGAGUAACGCGUGGGAACGUACCCUCUUCUGCGGGAUAGCCACUGGAAACGGUGAGUAAUACCGCAUACGCCCUUCGGGGGAAAGAUUUAUCGGAGGAGGAUCGGCCCGCGUUGGAUUAGGUAGUUGGUGGGGUAAUGGCCUACCAAGCCUACGAUCCAUAGCUGGUUUUAGAGGAUGAUCAGCCACACUGGGACUGAGACACGGCCCAGACUCCUACGGGAGGCAGCAGUGGGGAAUCUUAGACAAUGGGCGCAAGCCUGAUCUAGCCAUGCCGCGUGAGUGACGAAGGCCUUAGGGUCGUAAAGCUCUUUCGCCUGUGAUGAUAAUGACAGUAGCAGGUAAAGAAACCCCGGCUAACUCCGUGCCAGCAGCCGCGGUAAUACGGAGGGGGUUAGCGUUGUUCGGAAUUACUGGGCGUAAAGCGCACGUAGGCGGAUUGGAAAGUAUGGGGUGAAAUCCCAGGGCUCAACCCUGGAACGGCCUCAUAAACUUCCAGUCUGGAGUUCGAGAGAGGUGAGUGGAAUUCCGAGUGUAGAGGUGAAAUUCGUAGAUAUUCGGAGGAACACCAGUGGCGAAGGCGGCUCACUGGCUCGAUACUGACGCUGAGGUGCGAAAGUGUGGGGAGCAAACAGGAUUAGAUACCCUGG
This 710-nucleotide ribosomal RNA is filed under the name Roseovarius sp. RNAcentral describes it as "bacterial SSU rRNA". It matches the Rfam family "Bacterial small subunit ribosomal RNA", at positions 33 to 790 of the family's 1533-position model. The record is from RNAcentral. Lineage: Bacteria; Pseudomonadati; Pseudomonadota; Alphaproteobacteria; Rhodobacterales; Roseobacteraceae.